Molecule: ribosomal RNA, 485 nt
Filed under: uncultured bacterium
Lineage: Bacteria
Description: partial 16S ribosomal RNA
Rfam family: Bacterial small subunit ribosomal RNA
Source: RNAcentral
GAUGAACGCUAGCGAUAGGCUUAACACAUGCAAGUCGAGGGGCAGCGAGGGUAGCAAUACCUGUCGGCGACCGGCGCACGGGUGAGUAACGCGUAUGUAACCUGCCCGCAACAGGGGGAUAACCCGGCGAAAGUCGGACUAAUACCGCAUAAAACAGGGGUCCCGCAUGGGAAUAUUUGUUAAAGAUUUAUCGGUUGCGGAUGGGCAUGCGUACCAUUAGGUAGUUGGUGAGGUAACGGCUCACCAAGCCUUCGAUGGUUAGGGGUUCUGGGAGGAAGGUACACAACACAGGGACUGAAGCACGGACGAUAUUAGUACAGGAGGCAGCAGUGUGAAAUAAUGGUCAAUGUGCAGUAGCAUGAACCAGCCAAGGCGCGUGAAGGAUGACUGCCCUAUGGGUUGUAAACGUCUUAUACAAGGGAAUAAAAUAAGAUACGUGUAUUUUAUUACAUGUACCAGGGGAAUAAGCAACGGCUAACUCCGUG